UUUCCGUAGGUGAACCUGCGGAAGGAUCAUUAGUGAAUCUUGGGCCUUCUACUUCGGUAGGGCCUGACCUGCACUUUCUAACUCUGUGCACUUAUUUGGCGCAAAAGGGAAUUAGUAAUCUGUCUAAUGACGAUAGCGACUUCUUACUUUCUGCGGCUUACUUUUGACACUAGGCAAAGUAUGUAACGAAGUAUCGAAACAAAUAAAAACUUUCAACAACGGAUCUCUUGGUUCUC
Molecule: unclassified non-coding RNA, 236 nt
Filed under: plant metagenome
Description: partial contains small subunit ribosomal RNA, internal transcribed spacer 1, and 5.8S ribosomal RNA
Source: RNAcentral